UGCGGGAAGGGCGCUCGCGGCCUCGGCGCCGCGGUGGGGCCGCGCGGGGGCGGGGUGCCGCCAUCACCGCCGCCUGAGUGGGGGCAUACGGGGCCACGCAGCCCUUCCCCACCCCCUCCUGCGGCGUGGCGUGGCGUGGCUCGUCGCGGAGCCGGGUGGGCGAGGGUGCUCCGAUCGUGCCUAGCUUUCCCUUCGCGUCGCUUUCCCCCUGCCCGCUUUUAGUCACGCUCCCCGGUGCGGGGCCUCUGAGUACUUCCCGGCCUCCCCGCCCAGGCGCCGGCCGGGCGCUGGCAGGGAGCGGCUCCGGGCGCACCGCCCGACCGGCAGGGGGCGCUGCCUCAGCAGGAAUGGUGGCGGCGGGCCGGCGGCCUCCAGGCGACUGCGCGGUGUCCUGCGGUGCCUCCGGGCUCCUCCGAGGGCCCUUCGUGGUGUGCCUGGGGGGUCUGGCACCCGCGCUCAAAGCGCUGCCGUUAACGGCUGCUUCCGGCGUGGCCUCCAGCGCCGGUGUGGGGAGAUUGCGCAACUCAGGUGGAACGCUGGAGUGGGUCAGAACGCUGGAGUUUGGGUCCAGCAGCAGCAGUUAGCGGGAACACCUCACGUCCUCGUGUUGGAAGUAAUGAGGCUGGAGGAACCAUGUUGCACGGGGAUCCCUAAAGUGAGGGUAUUUUUGGACAGUUGCUUCAGGAGCUGGCAGUGCUUCCACUCCGGGCACGGGGAGAGCCUGGCAGUUGGCGUUCCCUGCUAGCAGUGCCCCCAUCUCUAUAAACAAAGCGAGGGUUUCUAGGGAGAGGUAAUGUCUGUUAUUAGAUCAGACCAGCUGACAGAAAGGUCAUGUUUUGUGGCAUAUUUUCAACCCUUUGUGUCCCAGAAUGUGUUCAUUGAGCUGAGAUCUAUGAGGACUGAGGACUAUGAAAGUUAGUACCUUUCACACGGAACGUGAUAAUUGCAGAGGAAACCCAUUCCGUUUAUUGGCAGAUUAAGGAAUCCAGAAGCUUGUGUUAUCUCUUUUAAUUAUUAUUUUUUUAAAAAAAGAUUAUUUGAAUUUAACAGUUAAAGACUUUUUUUUUGUUAGAAAUCCUGUCUUUUGGCUAUCUCUAGUCAGGUGAAGUUUUAGAAGGUUUCUUCACAUAAUGUCAUAUGCAUGAAAAACCAUGCAUAUGUCACUAGCCUCCAAAUGUAAAAAAUGAGGCCUUUUUCAUUCUAACUGCAUUUGCAAUUUUGUUCAUCAAUCUUUGUGUUGUCAAUCUAUUAUAGAUUAGUGAUUUAUUUGCCUUGCCCCGUUCAAGAAAAUAAUUUGGAGUUUCCUCAAAUUUGUUUUGUGUUUAAGCUUCUUUUUUUUUUUUCAGCUCUAUAUUGCAUACCUUUAAACAUCUGUUUGAAGCAAAUUGGUAAAAAAGACCAUGAUCAAUAUCUGGUAUUGCUAUAACUCAGUCUGAUUUGUGCUUUCACAACAGUAUAACUGUGUUACAUGUAACAUUAAAGAAAACAAGGUAGUUACUGUAAAAAUAAAAAAAAAAGAUAAGGAGGUAUUUGUUCUUUGUUCACGUAAUUUUUGGCAGACAGGCAUUUAAUUUGUAUACAGUUACAAGGACUCUUGGUUUGACAGAAUUACAGAUGGAUCCCAGACAUGGAAUUUACCCUGUCUUUACACAUAAGCCUUUCAUGGGUUUGUGGUACUCUUGAUCUGGCUUGGAACAUGCAGUUCAGUGGUCCUAAACAAUUAUGGGUGCAGAAAUAUUUUAUAAACUCGUUUUGGCCUCUUGAGCAGUGGCUUUGCAACUAUAAAUGGAAAAUCGUUCAUGGGUAGGAUGCCAGUUAGCUCUUUGAUGUACUGUGCAAAGGUCCUUGAGCUUGUGUGAGUUCAUCAGAUGUAGAAGUAUGGAAAUUCCACCAGAGUUUCUGCUUCCAGCAGAGAAAUAGUACCAUCUUAAGCUAUCUUCUAAUGUCUGUGUGGAACCCAGUUCAGAGUUUGCUGUGACACAUCAUCAGAUAUUGCACUGGUGGCGUCAACAUGCUGUAAUGUAUGCCUGUGGCUAUUGUAGGUCCUCAGGAUGGGACUACCAAAAUGUGACUGUUUGCAUAAUGUAACCACAAGGAAUGCUCCAGUAGUAAAAGUCCACGAAAGUUAAGAAUAUUGACAUUUUCAGGUCCCUCAAUCUCUGAUCAUCUGAGUACAUCAGAUUCUCAAAGCUUUUAGUCAUCUUCGUGACCCUUCACUUAACUUCAAUCUCUCUUUUAUUUCAGGAGAGAGUAAGCUGAACACAGUGGUCCAGAUGUAGCUUUAUAUGUGCUGAACAGAAGGCAAUAAUCAUGUCCCUUGACCUGCUGGCUAUGGUCUUGCUAAUGCAGUCCAAGAUGUGGGAUUGCCACUGGAAAUCACCUGCUAAUUGGACUUCAAACAUUUGUUAACUAUUCUUUGAGUCAAUGAUCUGAUCAGUUUUUAACUAACCUCGUGGUCCACCUAUCCAGCCUAAGUCUCCCAAUUUGGCUGCAAGAACACUAUCAAAAGCCUUGCUGAAGACAAGAGGAACAACAAUUAUUACUCCACCUCUCCCAGACAGCAUGUGAUUUAAUUGUAGAAGGCAAUCAGUGUGAUAAAACACAGUUUGCUCUUGGUAAAUUCAAGAUGGCCAUUCUCAAUCACAUACUUUGCCAUUGUGUGAAUGAGAAUGGUUUCUCUGAGUACUUGCUCCAUAAUUUUCCCACGGAUUGCGGUGAGGUUGGUCAGCCUGUAGUCACCUAUAUCAUCCUCACCAUUUUCUAAGACAGACACUACAGUUUUAUAAUUGUCAGGAUCCUCCACAGAACUUAGUUCUCAGGACCUCAUCUUUCACAAUUACACACGUGGCACAUUGUGUUCAGUGGAGAGACUGCAGAAACUCAAAAGCUUUGUUUUCACAAAGUGUAUUGAAGAACUAAGGCAAGAUCAAGAAAGGCUAAUGAGGAUGACUAAGGAUAUGAAAAAAAAAUCUGUUUUGAAAGAUUAGGGUUUUUUGUUUUAACCUUAGAGAGAAGGUUAAAAAGGGGUAUGCAGUAGAAUAAUUGUCUAGGUACAGUAGAUUAGAUGACUGUGUUCUCUGUCAUCAAACAUAAGCACAGGAACAUCAAGGAAAAUUAAAAAGUAACAUUCAAAACUGAUAAAAUACAACCUAUAAUUACCUCUCCUUAUAAAACUUGUAAUUAGAGUGUGGAAUUCACUGCCAAAUCACAAAGGCCAGGAAUGCAACAAGAUUAAAAAGAGUAUUGUAUUUUUAGGGAUAACAAGAAUAUUCAAGAGAUAUGGUUGGCUGGUAAAAAUAAGAGAAGGGCUAUUAAGUCUCAGAUUUCAAGGUGGAAACCAAAUUUCUGUUGACUAGAAUGGGUUGAUACUGAUAUUAGCAAAUCAGUAACUAAAGAGCAUGAGUAAGGAGGAGAUGGUCCACCUCUGCCUGCCCUCGAGUCUUUGUAUAGUGUGAUCCAAAGUGCUAGAACAUGUCGUUUGUGUAGUGAGGCAGUUCUUAACAAAGUCCUAUGUUUGGCUGAUUUAAUUCUGCUGUUUCAGUAGUGUUAUAGCUAAAAUGCUAUAAUGAUGUGAAAAAUUGAGCCCAAUACUUUGUUCAAUUGAAUAAAAACAUGGGAUGAUUAUUUUUCAACCUGUAACCUAUGUACCAGUGGAAAUAAUAACAAAUCCUAUGUAAAUAAUAAGUAGGAAGUAGAUCAAUAGGGAAUCCUUCAAUUAGAAUUAGAGAAACACUGGAACAAACGAUUUCUUAAGAUUCUCUGUGUAGCCUGAAGAAGAAGAACAUUGCUUCUGUGACUGUUUUUAGUUUUAAAUAAAUGUUAAAAUACAGUUUGAACUGGAUUCUGUACUACCUUCCCUUUUCAAAAUUAUUGUAUGAAAAUUUUGGAAUGUGAAACAUAAGUAUACAAAAACCCUAGCUGAGCUGUGAACAUCUUAGCUAUAACAUUUAUAUAAUUCCAUCGGAUCUGUGACCUGAUCCAAAAGUCACAUUGCUGUAUUCGUAAUAAAAUAAUUCAGGACUUUUUUAUUGUAAAUUAAUUCCAAGUCAGUGGCAGGCACUAAUGUGGCUUUCUAUACUUGAGAACAGGCAGAAGAAUUUAGUUGUUUUUCAGUGAUGAUGAUGAUACAUAUCAGUGACAACUUGCAAAAAGAGAGUUGUAUUCAGAGGCGAUCAAUGGUUGGAGAAGUCAAGUCUCCACUUGAUCUCUUGAGUUUUGACACUAAAUUUAAAUCAAAAUUAUAAUACCACCACUUAUGGUCUUCUGCUACUAACUUUUACUCUCUGUUGUGAUGUAUUUCCAAUUUUAAAAGAAAGAGGAGUCAUUUAAAAUAGAGAACAGAGAUGUGGUGUAGGUGGGAGAUUUUAUUCUAUAAUUGGUAAAAGACUAUAGUGGUUGCUAUGUGGACAUGAUGAAUUUCACAUUCUUAAGUGUAAUGGAUGCACUUUGGAACAGCAGUUUAAAUUUUCAAGCACUUUUAUGGCUAUAUAAGUUCCUAGUUGAGGCUUCAUGUGCUAAAAAUGAACAGUGUAGAAGAAUUCAUACUUUUCCUACUGCUUUUACAUUGCUGUCACUUCUGUUGUGCUUUCAUCUCCACUCUAUCCACUUCAGCUUCUCAACCGUUUUGUAAUGAGAGAACUACUUUAAAGUUACUCUAAUUACAGAAAUAAAAUUUGUUCUUUGAACCACAUACAGGAUGGAACCAUCAGAUUACUUUGAGUGGGUGUGUCCCAGCUUUCUGAUGGACAAGCUACCAGUGUUCCUGAUCUUUGCUAAGCUAAAGGAAUGUAAUUAUUAACUAGUGAAACCCCAGUCCUACACGUGCUUCUCACCUGCAGUCUCUUGUAGAACUGUCACCAGUCACUGCUGCUUUCAUUAGGAAUGUCCAUAGAUGGUAUGCCUUUGUACAAAAGAUCCAGAAUACUAUGCUAAUGCAUGUAAUUGACAGCAGAAGUUCAUGUGGAGAAGGAGGUUGUGUAUCAGGUAUAUUUUUCUGUAAGAAUAAUUACUCUUGUCAGCAUAGACCACACUUUUUAUUUUUCAAAUGCAGAUCAAGUCUCUGAGAAGGAAAAUUCCAUUUAGCAUAUACCUAAAGUUGAUACCUGGUUUGUUAAUGUACUCAUAAAAUUAAAAAUCAUGAAAUUAAAAAAUGGGAAGGAAUAGGUAUCAUUAAAUGAUCUUUGAUCAAAGCUCAGCUGAAUGCACUGCAACAUUUAUACUAUAAUUAGAAACCUAGUGACUGUCCUUGCUCAGUGUUUUAUUCAUAGAUAACUAAGGUAUGUACCAUAAACCACAUAUGACUGUGAUCAAAGGACAUUUUUCUGUGUAUCUUAUCAGUAGCAAUAUACUAAUUUUAUGAUCAUAUUUUUUUCCCUUUCUAUUGUGUUUCCAUGAACUUUGUAUAGUUUGUUUUGGCUUGUGUUAUGUUAAUCAGUGUAAAUAGUUUUUAUUUAUUUAUCUAUUUAUUUAAUUACUUCCUAAAUGUUAAAAAUUAACAAAAAAUACACUACAAUUUAACUAUUAUGUUAUCUGAAAGGAUGAAAUGAUUCAUAUUUCAAGUUGGCAAGUCUCCUAGGUCUGAUCUAAAUAUGCGUACAUGGAAGAAGUAAGGAAAGAUAGCAAAAUCCGACAACACAAGCCAUCCAAGAUGAUAGGCCCAUUUUGAGUAUUUUAGCCAUUUUAUCUCUUAUUACAUAUGCUUUAUUUUUGAGACUAGACAUGGAAUUUACUAGUUUUGAAUAUAAGUGGGGAGGAACCUAGAUAUUCUGUUAGUAGCUGUGCACAGUUAGGAGGUAAUUCAAAUCUGUGAUACCAUUUUAGAUGGCAAUGGCCGUACAAAUAUCUGUUGGCUUUUUACUGCUGCCCAAGAAUGAUGCGAGUGUUGUGCAAGUCCUUUGUCAUCUGCUGUCAUCUGCUUUAUCAUCUUCCUGUGCAAAAGUCUCAGAUAUGUUUUCUGAAGUAUUAGAUGCAUGAGCCACAAGAGAAAACACAAGAAGGCAGCCUGUACCCUCUCUGGUACCCUCUCUGAAGGCAAGAACUCAAAGGAAAGGAGUGGAUGGAGGCAAGUCCAUGCUCAGAGCUGCAAACAAAACCUCUCCUUGCACCCAGAUGUUUCUGUACAACAUGUAUACAGCAUUUAUGAAGCUCUGGAUGUAAAAUACUUAUCUGUGAGUGAUAACAGCCCAUUUACACUAGAAGAAUCUAGGAUGUAUCUUGACAUCAUUCUCAAGACUGUUUAUGUCACUGAGCCAGAAUAAGUCCUUACAGUGGAGUUGUAGUAACUGUUUAGCUCUGCUGGCCUUCCAGGAGUAAUAUUCAACUGAAAACUCAGCAUUCUUCAGGCCUUCCCAUUUUGCAGUGUGUUAGAAAUGUCCCAUGAUCAUGUCCUGCAUUCCUGCUUAAGAGUGCUGCAGGUAAACUUAUUAUUCCUUGUAUCUAAUUACAUAUUUUGUACCUUUUAAUAUUGUUUUCAUUAUCUGCCAGCAGCAACCAGAGCAGCCAAAGAAGAGGUGGUUGUGUCACCAACAAAACACUGCUAUCCAAAUGCAACACAGGGGCAGUCUGACAAAAUGGCCUUUGACAUAGACAUGGAUUUCAGGCCCAUUUCUAAUUUCUCAUGUCCUGGAUUUUCUCCUCUGAAUUCAAAGCCAUUGGCAUAGGGAAGACUUAAAUAAGGCCAUUUCAGACACAUCUACGCAGUUGUGGUGUCACUGUCCUGUUGCAUUAUAUGAUUUUCAUUACAUACUUUAUUUUGUUGGAGCAAAUGGACCUUUUUUAUUUUUCUCUUUAUACCAGAGACAAAGAAUGAUCAGAACAAGGAUUUAUCAACACUGAGUCACGCUUCUGAAAAACAGACUUAAAUGAGCACAGACAAAUAUGUUAUACUUGACUUCAGUUUUAAUUUCAGUCUUCGAAUUAUAUUGUAUUGGUCAUACACCUUUUUUUUUUUUCCUUUAUUUGUGUGGGGCUGUGUCUAUUGAUAUUGCUGUACUUCGCAUUCUGAAGGGAAACAGUGACCAAUUAAAGAAUUAUAUACAGAACAAAUUCAGUUUCAUUACCUCUCUGAUUUCAGGAUUACAUGUUGCAGAUAACAGUCAUAAUACACUGAGAUGUGCUGUACAAUGUCAUAUGGAUUGGCAUGAUAUGCUUUAAGAGUAUGAUAAGAAUUCAUAGACUGCAUUUGAAGUGAAUGGAAAAGCUUUCCUCUUCAGUUAGUUGUGACUGUAAUCAAUCUCUUAACUUCAAGUUUCUAAAUGCCUUAAUAGUGUUAGUAACAAUGGAUGCUCUACCAAAUCCAAGAGCAAAACAGCUUUAUGAAGGAAGACAGAAAUCUCAUCUCUCAAGC
Numida meleagris (helmeted guineafowl) is the source of this 7345-nucleotide long non-coding RNA. RefSeq lists it as uncharacterized. Lineage: Eukaryota; Metazoa; Chordata; Aves; Galliformes; Numididae. The record is from RefSeq and is a predicted model, not a curated record. The transcript is spliced from 3 exons.